This is a long non-coding RNA of Amblyraja radiata (thorny skate), 128 nucleotides long. RefSeq lists it as uncharacterized. The record is from RefSeq and is a predicted model, not a curated record. Lineage: Eukaryota; Metazoa; Chordata; Chondrichthyes; Rajiformes; Rajidae. The transcript is spliced from 3 exons.
GUGACGUUUCGGGUUGAGACCCUUCUUCAGACUGAACUGAACUCCGUAUUUAACACAAAAUCGUACAUCCAUAUUCUAAUCGCAUUUCCGUACAAAAUACGGAAAAUCCGUACUACUUGGCAGCUCUG